Molecule: transfer RNA, 65 nt
Filed under: Pheretima silvatica
Lineage: Eukaryota; Metazoa; Annelida; Clitellata; Crassiclitellata; Megascolecidae
Description: tRNA-Ile
Source: RNAcentral
GGUAUGGCGCCGGAUGAACGGAUAACUCUGAUGACGUUAAUUAAGGAGUUUUACUCCCUAUACCU